RNAcentral lists this ribosomal RNA (198 nucleotides) under uncultured bacterium. RNAcentral describes it as "partial 16S ribosomal RNA". It matches the Rfam family "Bacterial small subunit ribosomal RNA", at positions 328 to 539 of the family's 1533-position model. The record is from RNAcentral.
ACGCUCGACACCUACGGAGGCAGCAGUGGGGAAUAUUGCACAAUGGGGGAAACCCUGAUGCAGCGACGCCGCGUGGAGGAAGAAGGUCUUCGGAUUGUAAACUCCUGUUGUUGGGGAAAAAGAGGAUGGUACCCAACAAGGAAGUGACGGCUAACUACGUGCCAGCAGCCACGGUAAUCUGAGGCGGGCUGGCAAGGC